Molecule: ribosomal RNA, 301 nt
Filed under: uncultured bacterium
Lineage: Bacteria
Description: partial 16S ribosomal RNA
Rfam family: Bacterial small subunit ribosomal RNA
Source: RNAcentral
CAGUAGCCACGGUAAUACGUAGGUGGCAAGCGUUGUCCGGAAUUAUUGGGCGUAAAGCGCGCGCAGGUGGUUUAAUAAGUCUGAUGUGAAAGCCCACGGCUCAACCGUGGAGGGUCAUUGGAAACUGUUAAACUUGAGUGCGGGAGAGAAAAGUGGAAUUCCUAGUGUAGCGGUGAAAUGCGUAGAGAUUAGGAGGAACACCAGUGGCGAAGGCGGCUUUUUGGCCUGUAACUGACACUGAGGCGCGAAAGCGUGGGGAGCAAACAGGAUUAGAUACCCCCGUAGUCCCUGUCUCUUAUAC